CUCUUUAUAACAUCAUAACUGAAAUUCACAACUCUUGUGUUGUAUACCAUACAUUUACAGGAGAAACUAUGAUGUUUUGACUAAGAGGAUAUUGCCUGCACAGGUUUUGUAGUUAUAAUGUAGUAGUAGGCUAUUGCCCACACUUUUUAUUAGUUUAUGAUGCACCUUGUGGCACUUAUUAUUUUAAGGCUGGUUAUGGUAACAUUUCUGUCCUGUGAUAACAGUCCUGUUUUUGUUAAUGAAACUUAUGAAAAUUAUGUGUUAUUUUCAGUGUUUAUGCAUACGUGUAUCUCAGUGGCAGUAGCUAAUGGUAUGUAUCCUCCUGACGUCAUGUAGCCUAUCUUUUUUAUCAUGUCCCUUAUGUGUUAACUCGUGUCACCAACUAGUCAACACAAUGGUCAACUUGUGUUUAUACUAAUUCUCUCACUGUUAGAUUUAGGAGGGAGUUUUGAUCUCUCAUAUUUGGCCUACGUGUACAUGUUAAACUCCCAAAUUUUAUUUCUAGAUGCUAACAAUGCUGUAACGUGAUGGCUCAUAAUGUGGAUAUCUGUUAGUGGACUAGUGAUAAAUUUUAUUCCCACUUGGAUGCUUCUUUGUUGUGCGCUUUUAUUGAUUCCAACUUCUUUAGAAUUUCAUCUAAACUGUAAACUCAGUUAGAGUCAUUUUCUUUGAAGUAUAAGUUUUCUCA
Molecule: long non-coding RNA, 688 nt
Organism: Amphimedon queenslandica
Lineage: Eukaryota; Metazoa; Porifera; Demospongiae; Haplosclerida; Niphatidae
Exons: 2
Source: RefSeq, a predicted model, not a curated record